Non-coding RNA from Cordylochernes scorpioides, 68 nucleotides. The record is from the annotation of a GenBank genome assembly. Lineage: Eukaryota; Metazoa; Arthropoda; Arachnida; Pseudoscorpiones; Chernetidae.
GUGGAGUGUGGCAGUGUGAUUAGCUGGUUGUCAAGUCAACAACCACUAUCCACCCUGCCGUAUUCCGC